CAAAUUCUUCAGUUUCAAGCUUCCAAUUGUUCAUUUGUAAGCAUCUCACUACCCAUAAAUGAGGAAAAAUGCCAUAUUUGAAGGAUAAAUUGAAUCAAUGUGGCAAUGAACAAGGGACGACCACUAGUUUUAUGUUUGUUUUUAUUAGUACAUGUGAUAUGGCCUGCAUGUAUAAACAGGUAGAAGUGUGAGAAAAUUAUUUGAUAAGUCACGAGGUAAAGACUAUUGGCUUGCAUAAACCAUGCUGAAUCACAUGUUGUAGCUAAAUCUCAAGACAGUAAAAAAUCAAUAGAACUCACAUUAAAUUGUUGAAUUGUUAUGCUCUUCUUGCAAGAUGGGGAGUAUGAUGGUAAGAUCUUAUACUAUAAAAUUAACACAACUGUUACCAAAUUAUGUAUUCGGAAACAAUUUGCUAGUUGUUGUAAGACUAUAGCAAUACUAGCCCUUUUGUGAGUAUCAAACUCACCUGAGCCAAAUUAAAACAUGGAUUUGGUGCUCAAGGCAUACAUACAGUACAAAAAUCAGUAAACAUUCAAAUGUCACCAGAGUUUUCAAACCAACUAGAGUGAAUACAUUCAUUAUCUCAAUGCCAGCCAGCCAAUAAUGAGUACAAAUUUAGGGUGCUUUAAUGCCAGUCACCCAAGUAGCUCCUUUUGUCUUGCCAUGUAGUUGAUCAUUGAAACUAUUUCAGAAUAGCAUGUAUCAAAGUUCUGGGGGGAGAAAAUAGUACUCUAGUAACAGAGUUUUGCAUUUAAAUAAUAAAAUGUGGUCUGGCCACCUUAUGAAUGUAUUCAAUUCAAAAAUAUAGCACAACAUUAAAUGUCGCUAGUUAAGAAGCAUGGACACUUCAAAGAAGGUGUCGUGUGUUUGUGUCGGACACUAACACUCCUCAUACACACCCUGACGUAUGUGUUGAACAUGCAUCCAAAUGUUAUAUUAUUUUUUUAAUCUUUUUAGAACAAGACAAACAUCUGAAACUUGAAAUAACUUUGAAGCUAAUAGUUAAAAUCAAAGUAAUGUAGAUCCCUCCUUCAACUUGUAAUGAAUAUUAAGAAGCAAUAGACAUCAAGCAAUACCAUUGUAACAAAAAUGAUUAUGAAAAUAUAUAGAACACACUGUGAGUUCAAAAAUUCCAAAGAUUAACUUCACUAAAGCCUAAACAAUAGCAUAAGCAAGUGUAAAUGAGGAAAACAAUUGUUCAAAUAAAUGUUUACAAGAACUAUAGUGGGAUAUAAAGCUGCACCCCAUGCAACGUGCACGAAGGAACUAAAAGCUCUCUACAUCUUCACUGGAGUAGAGCCACCCGAGCCUGUCCCAUAUAAAAACCAACCAUCUGAUCUUAUGGAAGUCAAUGACAAGCUUCUGUUUCUCAUGUCCAUAGUUGAAGUGAAGUAGGUAGAACUAUUUCUAUGUAUGUUAUAUGGUAAGGCUAAAUGAAAAGAAAAUAAAAAUAAAAAAAACUCCGCACAAGUUUAGAGACCACAUAAGCAAAGAGAGAUGGGGUCUGUGAACUUGCUAAUAGAAGGAGACCUCAAAACAGCCUGCAAGGAGGAACUACUCAAAGAGAAGAUGCCCACAGCCAACUAAAACAAAGGCAAGAAAUAAUGGCAGUAGUAGAGCAUCAUGGCCUUCAAUAAUUCAUAUAGGAAGUACGUUUCUCUUAUCAUAUCUUUUCCAUUUUAAGUCAUACUCUAUCAAAUGCUUGUGUUUGAUGGCUGAAAAAGCAACUGACUUUCAUUAUAAGUUUGAUUAGUCUCCUGCUCUCUUUUUAAGUUUGUGAUUUAUUUAAAUCUUGUAUUUGCUUGCCUACUGAAGUUCUCUCCUAAAGUUAGAAUUGUUUGAUUAUAUAGGGCAAAAACUGUAUUUACAGGCUUGGAAAGCUUUCCUAAUCAUGCACAGAAUACCAAUGUCAUGUCUGAUGUUCAGGAUGGUUACGGGCUUAUGAUUUCGGAGUUAAUCGGAACUGAAAUAUCCAAUUGUUCUUCUGUACCAGCAGACAUUAGUUCUCUGCACAAUGAGAUGACCCUUAAUAAUGGAGAG
This is a non-coding RNA of Camellia sinensis, 2040 nucleotides long. The record is from RefSeq and is a predicted model, not a curated record. NCBI's taxonomy places the organism in Eukaryota, Viridiplantae, Streptophyta, Magnoliopsida, Ericales, Theaceae.